ACACGGAGGGUGCGAGCGUUGUUCGGAAUUACUGGGCGUAAAGCGUACGUAGGCGGUUAUUUAAGUCAGAUGUGAAAGCCCCGUGCUUAACUUGGGAACUGCAUUUGAAACUGGGUAACUAGAGUUUAGUAGAGGGGAGUGGAAUUUCAGGUGUAGCGGUGAAAUGCGUAGAGAUCUGAAGGAACACCAGUGGCGAAGGCGACUCCCUGGACUAAAACUGACGCUGAGGUACGAAAGCGUGGGUAGCAAACAGGAUUAGAAACCCCGGUAGUCC
RNAcentral lists this ribosomal RNA (274 nucleotides) under uncultured bacterium. Its description in RNAcentral is "partial 16S ribosomal RNA". It matches the Rfam family "Bacterial small subunit ribosomal RNA", at positions 523 to 796 of the family's 1533-position model. The record is from RNAcentral.